CCUGCAGUGGCGUAUAUCGCCAAACUAAAUCAGUUCCUCCCCAUCAAACAUCUCUUACUACACUGGAACCCACACCAAGAAAUCUCCGAUACAAACGUUUGAGUGGGCGGAUGACGGUUCCAAACAUACCCUCUUGAAGGUGUGACAAACCAAUUGUCAUACCAACCGGUCCCAGUGCGAUCCGAUACGUAUAGGCAUCGAUUUGAUUGCAAAGAAGUGGCUAAAACAGCUAAGAAGAUAGGUCCCGGAAUGUUUUAAGGACAAGGCGGCUGCGCUAGAGGCGCCAUAUAACGAAGGCCCUGGUAAAAUAAGGAAUUGGAGGCUAUGCCUAAGCGAUUCAUCAAGGA
This 347-nucleotide small RNA is filed under the name Histoplasma capsulatum var. duboisii H88. Its description in RNAcentral is "Histoplasma capsulatum H88 hypothetical RNA". The record is from RNAcentral. Lineage: Eukaryota; Fungi; Ascomycota; Eurotiomycetes; Onygenales; Ajellomycetaceae.